AUGAAAGGGAUAACUUACGGUGGACUGCUAGCGGCGGUGCUCUUCUGGCAGCAGGACUGGAGGCAGUCGGGGAUGGCGGUGUCCUUGAGAUCGACUUAGAUAGGCAGAGUAAGCCUUAGCGUUUGAUUAUAGGGGGUUUUCCGGCGGCUUGGGGGGGGCUUAAGCCCCCACCAGCCCCCCCUUAAAUCCGUGGCUGAUUGCACAACCACAAGGGAAAAGCAGGGAGCUACAGCAUGCCAUCUUAGCAAAAACAAAACCCAACCUCUAGCAUAAUUACCAAAAACUUCAACUACCCAACUCUGGUAAACAAAAUUUCUGGGAUAAGAACAACGCAAAACGCAAGCAAAAAUCAUCUUCAAAGCAGGACUUUCGGUUAGGCAUUUCGUCGAACAGCAAAUAGGCACCAAAAUUUCACCGACUUUUUUUGCUCAAUUAAGGUCAUUUUCAGCCCCAAAAGUUUGCCAGAAACACAGCAAACAGUCCAAUUAACACAUAUAGCAUGCGUAUUAAAAAAUCAUGAACAAACAACCGAAAAUUGCAACCAAACACAGUCACGGCAGCCUGUUUCAAAGGCUUGAACAAAACUGAAGUUUUAAAGAAGAAAAGAC
Molecule: long non-coding RNA, 608 nt
Filed under: Coffea arabica (coffee)
Lineage: Eukaryota; Viridiplantae; Streptophyta; Magnoliopsida; Gentianales; Rubiaceae
Description: long non-coding RNA (CARA_LNC008110)
Source: RNAcentral